RNAcentral lists this ribosomal RNA (449 nucleotides) under uncultured bacterium. Its description in RNAcentral is "SSU rRNA". It matches the Rfam family "Bacterial small subunit ribosomal RNA", at positions 27 to 518 of the family's 1533-position model. The record is from RNAcentral.
GGGAUGAACGCUGGCGGUCUGCUUAACACAUGCAAGUCGAACGGGCGUAGCAAUACGUUAGUGGCGGACGGGUGAGUAACGCGUGAGAAUCUACCUUCAGGACGGAGACAACAGUUGGAAACGACUGCUAACCCCCGAUGUACCGAAAGGGCAAAUAUUUAUAGCCUGAAGAAGAGCUCGCGUCCGAUUAGCUAGUUGGAGAGGUAAAAGCUCACCAAGGCGACGAUCGGUAGCUGGUCUGAGAGGACGAUCAGCCACACUGGGACUGAGACACGGCCCAGACUCCUACGGGAGGCAGCAGUGGGGAAUUUCCGCAAUGGGCGAAAGCCUGACGGAGCAAGACCGCGUGGGGGAAGAAGGCUCUUGGGUUGUAAACCCCUUUUCUCUGGGAAGAACGCAAUGACGGUACCAGAGGAAUCAGCAUCGGCUAACUCCGUGCCAGCAGCCGC